Molecule: RNA transcript, 1535 nt
Organism: Daphnia pulicaria
Lineage: Eukaryota; Metazoa; Arthropoda; Branchiopoda; Diplostraca; Daphniidae
Gene name: stromal membrane-associated protein 1-like
Exons: 8
Source: RefSeq, a predicted model, not a curated record
UGUACAGUAUCCUCAAAAAAAAUCCGAAUGCGAUUUUUUUUGUGGAAACCAUCUAGCGGUUGGUGAAUUAAAAGUGGUUGCCUGUGCCUGUGCUCUGCCCCGGCUCCAAGUUAACGUGCCCCUGCCUAAACUUCACUUCCGCGGCUCUACGUUGAAUGUGACUGUGUUGAAUGUUACGUGAUGAAGACAACAAAUAUUGCUUUGACUGUGAUGCCAAAGGACCAAGAUGGGCUUCAUGGAAUCUUGGAAUUUUCUUAUGUAUCCGUUGUGCAGGAUUUCAUCGGAACUUGGGGGUGCACAUAUCUAGAGUUAAAUCAGUCAAUUUAGACUCGUGGACCCCAGAACAAGUAGUUGCAUUUCCUCAUCGAUGAGUCAUUUAUUUCUCAAACUACAUUACAGUCCCUGCAGCAAAUGGAAAAAAGCCGAGCAAGGGCAGUGUAUGAAGCCAACCUUCCUGAUACUUUUCGAAUGCCACAGACAGAUUCAACCCUGGAGGGUUUCAUAAGAGCAAAAUAUGAAGCUAAAAAACACAUAGCCAAAGAAUGGGUUUGUCCACCGACAGUGAAGGUGUCAUGGGAUGCCGAGAUUGAAAUGGAAAUGAAAGGAAAAAAGGAAGCCAAACGCAAGACCAAUGAAAGUCCUGCCACCACCCUCGAGUUUCCUCCUAGCCAACCGUCGUCACGCACUCCUCGGACUGCUGAAUCGACGUCGACAAUCAGUUCAACUUCCUCAUCAGCGGUAAAAGAAGUUAAUCUACCGGCUCCGAUCGAAGUGCCAUCCCUACCUGCACCUACCAAAACUAGCUCGGCCGCUCAAGACCUAUUAGGAUUAGAUACGGCAAUCAACAGCUCAACAGGGAAUGAUUUAUUUGGUGGAUUAUUAACCAGCUGCCACUAAUAAUGGUAGUACUAACAAUGUAAUGGGAGGAGCCUCGAAAAAUGCCGACGAAGACAGUUUUUUCAACCAGAAAACACCCAGUACAACGGAGAAACGCAUAUUGGACCAGAAUUCAUUAUUACCCUGUAUAACCAGGGCGGUGCAACCACUUCUGUUGCUGUUCCACCUAUGCAAAAUAUAUUUGCUUCUUAAGGAGUUUAUUCGACUCCUCAACCGUCAUACAUACCCAAUCCUUCAAUGAAUCAAUCGGCAUUUGGAUCGUCUCCGUCAAUGAAUCAAACAAACUGCAUGAUGGCUCUACGCUGUCGCGGUGCUACUGCACCUAGUCCCAGUCUACUGAACAGUGCCCCAGCCUACGUCAUUCAGCCUCAUCCCUUAAACAAUCUGCCCCUUCCUACAACAAUAUUUCUUUUUAUUGUAAUAUUUUUUGUGUAAUGUUUGCUUUAUUAUUAAUAAGAAGACUGUAAAUCAUUUUUGGCUCUUGUCUGUUGUUGCUCUCUCUUAAUGGAAUCUCCGAAUUCUACCAAAACACACAGUUCAAUUCAUUUGUUUGCAUUGUAUUCUUCCACUAUAUUGCUUAAAUCAAGCCAUAAAUAUCCUACAGUGGCAGACAAUACAUAAUAUUCAUUUUCCACGAA